UCUUAGGGUACCGUCACUGUCCGACGCAUCGAACACAUUCUUCCCCUAUAAAAGCAGUUUACAACCCAGAAGGCUGUCUUCCUGCACGCGGCAUGGCUGGUUCAGGGUUGCCCCCCAUUGACCAAUAUUCCCU
This 133-nucleotide ribosomal RNA is filed under the name uncultured bacterium. RNAcentral describes it as "partial 16S ribosomal RNA". The record is from RNAcentral.